AUUGAACGCUGGCGGCAGGCUUAACACAUGUAAGUCGAGCGGGGUGAUGGUGCUUGCACUAUCACUUAGCGGCGGACGGGUGAGUAAUGCUUAGGAAUCUGCCUAUUAGUGGGGGACAACAUCUCGAAAGGGAUGCUAAUACCGCAUACGUCCUACGGGAGAAAGCAGGGGAUCACUUGUGACCUUGCGCUAAUAGAUGAGCCUAAGUCGGAUUAGCUAGAUGGUGGGGUAAAGGCCUACCAAGGCGACGAUCUGUAGCGGGUCUGAGAGGAUGAUCCGCCACACUGGGACUGGGACACGGCCCAGACUCCUACGGGAGGCAGCAGUGGGGAAUAUUGGACAAUGGGGGGAACCCUGAUCCAGCCAUGCCGCGUGUGUGAAGAAGGCCUUAUGGUUGUAAAGCACUUUAAGCGAGGAGGAGGCUCUUUUGGUUAAUACCCAAGAUGAGUGGACGUUACUCGCAGAAUAAGCACCGGCUAACUCUGUGCCAGCCGCCGCCGUAA
RNAcentral lists this ribosomal RNA (503 nucleotides) under uncultured bacterium. RNAcentral describes it as "partial 16S ribosomal RNA". It matches the Rfam family "Bacterial small subunit ribosomal RNA", at positions 30 to 523 of the family's 1533-position model. The record is from RNAcentral.